UUAAGCAUAUCAAUAAGCGGAGGAAAAGAAACCAACAGGGAUUGCCUCAGUAACGGCGAGUGAAGCGGCAAGAGCUCAAAUUUGAAAGCUGGCCCCUCCGGGGUCCGCGUUGUAAUUUGCAGAGGAUGCUUUGGGUGCGGCCCCCGUCUAAGUGCCCUGGAACGGGCCGUCAGAGAGGGUGAGAAUCCCGUCUUGGGCGGGGUGUCCGUGCCCGUGUAAAGCUCCUUCGACGAGUCGAGUUGUUUGGGAAUGCAGCUCUAAAUGGGUGGUAAAUUUCAUCUAAAGCUAAAUACUGGCCGGAGACCGAUAGCGCACAAGUAGAGUGAUCGAAAGAUGAAAAGCACUUUGAAAAGAGAGUUAAACAGCACGUGAAAUUGUUGAAAGGGAAGCGCUUGCGACCAGACUCGCCCGCGGGGUUCAGCCGGCAUUCGUGCCGGUGUACUUCCCCGUGGGCGGGCCAGCGUCGGUUUGGGCGGCCGGUCAAAGGCCCCUGGAAUGUAGUGCCCUCCGGGGCACCUUAUAGCCAGGGGUGCAAUGCGGCCAGCCCGGACCGAGGAACGCGCUUCGGCUCGGACGCUGGCAUAAUGGUCGCAAACGACC
This 600-nucleotide ribosomal RNA is filed under the name Aspergillus heteromorphus. RNAcentral describes it as "eukaryotic LSU rRNA". It matches the Rfam family "Eukaryotic large subunit ribosomal RNA", at positions 34 to 649 of the family's 3401-position model. The record is from RNAcentral. Lineage: Eukaryota; Fungi; Ascomycota; Eurotiomycetes; Eurotiales; Aspergillaceae.